GAUGAACGCUAGCUACAGGCUUAACACAUGCAAGUCGCGGGGCAGCAUGGGGGUUGCUUGCCAUCCCUGAUGGCGACCGGCGCACGGGUGAGUAACGCGUAUCCAACCUGCCCUUCACCACGGGAUAACCCGGCGAAAGUCGGACUAAUACCGUAUGUUGUCCAUUGACGGCAUCCGAUUUGGACGAAAGGCUUAGCGGUGAGGGAUGGGGAUGCGUCCGAUUAGCUUGACGGCGGGGUAACGGCCCACCGUGGCUACGAUCGGUAGGGGUUCUGAGAGGAAGGUCCCCCACACUGGAACUGAGACACGGUCCAGACUCCUACGGGAGGCAGCAGUGAGGAAUAUUGGUCAAUGGGCGUAAGCCUGAACCAGCCAAGUAGCGUGCAGGAUGACGGCCCUAUGGGUGGUAAACUGCUUUUAGGCGGGGAUAAAGGGACCCACGUGUGGGUUUUUGCAGGUACCGCAUGAAUAAGGACCGGCUAAUUCCGUG
Molecule: ribosomal RNA, 490 nt
Filed under: uncultured bacterium
Lineage: Bacteria
Description: partial 16S ribosomal RNA
Rfam family: Bacterial small subunit ribosomal RNA
Source: RNAcentral